Molecule: long non-coding RNA, 607 nt
Organism: Esox lucius (northern pike)
Lineage: Eukaryota; Metazoa; Chordata; Actinopteri; Esociformes; Esocidae
Exons: 5
Source: RefSeq, a predicted model, not a curated record
GUUUGCAGCCAUCUGCACACACAAACAAGGACGCCGUUACCAAAGUCACCGGAACCACCUUUCCCAUGGCCACCUGGUGACAGGAUGAGGAUGCUGGUCCUCGGCCACAUCAAACUCAUCCUACCCCUGGUUAUUGGGGUCGUUCUCAGGAUCCAACGCCCCCUCUACUGCCCCCUAAAGGACGGGAGGGCACGGAGAGCAAGAGAUAAUUUCCGUGUGUAUACACGUGUGUGAGCGAGCCAGGUUUAAGGUGGAGCAGGAGGUAGACCUGACGCAAACUCUAAAGGAUCUGGGCAUCAAGAAAAUAUUCACAGACUUUGCUGAUUUGUCUGCAAUGACCACAGGACUAGUAUUCCAAGCCACGGCUAUACGCUUCCCUCCAGUGACGCGUCCUACCUUCAAGGCUGAUCACCCCUUCUUCUUUGUCAUUAGAAACCAGAGGAUAGGUUCUACCCUUUUCAUGGGAAGGGUCAUGACACCAGAGGUGGUCAGACCUUGAGACCACGGAACCUGAACUAUUACCAAUGGGAUUCCAGUGGCAUUGAUGACAUGCUUAACACCAUUGACAUCCAGCCAAAAACUAUGCAAUAAAUGCAACUUCUCUUUU